RNAcentral lists this ribosomal RNA (253 nucleotides) under uncultured bacterium. RNAcentral's name for it is "partial 16S ribosomal RNA". It matches the Rfam family "Bacterial small subunit ribosomal RNA", at positions 524 to 776 of the family's 1533-position model. The record is from RNAcentral.
UACGUAGGGUGCAAGCGUUGUCCGGAAUUAUUGGGCGUAAAGAGCUCGUAGGCGGUUUGUCGCGUCUGCUGUGAAAACUCGGGGCUUAACCCCGGGCCUGCAGUGGGUACGGGCAGACUAGAGUGCGGUAGGGGAGACUGGAAUUCCUGGUGUAGCGGUGAAAUGCGUAGAUAUCAGGAGGAACACCGAUGGCGAAGGCAGCUCUCUGGCCUGUAACUGACGCUGAGGUGCGAAAGCGUGGGGAGCAAACAGG